GUCAGUCUGGCCAACAUCGUGAAGCCCCGUCUCUACUAAAAAUACAAAAUUAGCCGAGCGUGGUGGUGGGCGCCUGUAAUCCCAGCUACUCAGGAGGCUGAGGCAGAAGAAUCACUUGAACCCGGGAGGCGGAGGUUGCAGUGAGCCGAGAUCAUGCCAUUGCACUCCAGCCUGGGCAAAAAGAGCGAAACUCCAUCUCAGAAAAAAAAUAUAAAAAUAAAUUAAAAAAUAAAAAUAAAAAGCCCACAUUUGCCAGGCACCGUCUAGAUCCAGCACCGUCCUCAUUUAAAACAGUUGGACUUGGGGGGUUGUGCACUGGAAUGACUAACCUGGAAGCCACGCCACGACUCAGGGGCGGCGGGGACUCAAAUCCGCACUAUCAGAUGCCGCGGCAGGUGCUUAAGACCUGCAGCCUAGAAAGCGAGCCUAUCUUAUCCCCACUUUAGGAAAAGUUGUUUGGUGUUACUUAAGGUUAUGACAUUGUGCUCUGUGAAGUCAUUUGCGUCCCCGACACCUCCCAACUCAGCUGGGACUGGCCAGUGCCCUGCUCCCCGACCUCGCCGUGGCGGCCAGUAGGAGGUGUCGGCGCCCCAGGAGUCCGCGGCCCAGCCAAUGGGAGCCGCGAGAAGGGCCGGGGCGGAGCCUUGACGCGCGAUGCCAGGGAACCACUCCCGUGGGAUUUGGCCAGAGGCAUCUCACUGGCGUCCUGUCGCCCAGGCUGGGGUGCAGUGGCUCGAUCUCAGUUCACUGUGACCUCUGCCUCCCGGACUGAAGCGAUUCUUCCGCCUCAGCCUCCCCGGUAUCUGAGAUUAUGGGCGUGCACCACAUGCCUGGCUAAUUUUUCGUAUUUUUAUUAGAGACGAGGUUUCACCAUGUUGGCCAGACUGGUCUUGAACUCCUGGCCUCAGGUGAUCCACCCACUUCGCCUCCCAAAGUGCUGGGAUUACAAGCGUGAUGCUCAACUAAGAUAUGGGAGAAAGAAAGCUAGAUUAGCACAGGAAAAAGCCACAGUAGGAGGAAGGAUAAAGGCAGCCCAGAAAGGAGAAUUGGACAGAGAAGUGAAGAUGAGUGGGUAUGUCAUAAGGUGAGAGAUAAUGCUGAGACAUUUAUAAUUAGAACAGAGUUUUCAUGUGAGGAUAAGGUUCAGUCCCCAUUUAAAUCAAUUAGCUCUGCAGUGGGGGAGAAUCUGCUCCCUAGGCCAAAACACCUAUUUGAAAUUAGCAGAAGAAUCUGGUGACAGCCAGUGCAACCAUUUCAAUAAAUAAACCAAAAAUAAACUGCAUUGCUGCUGAUGGACUAAAGAUGCCAAUUUUCUAUAUAAAGGGUGACACACUCAAUUUCCUUCUAUUCAUUACAUUUUGGCAUAUUUAAAAACUAACACACAUUUUUCUUUUUUUUUUUUUUUUUGAGACGGAGUUUUGCUCUUGUUGCCCAGGCUGGAGUGCAAUAGCGUGAUCUCUGCUCACUGCAACCUCUGCCUCCCAGGUUCAAACGAUUCCCCUGCCUCAGCCUCCCAAGCAGCUGGGACUACAGGCAUGUGUCACCACAUCUGGCUAAUUCUGUAUUUCUUAGUAGAGACGGGGUUUCUCCAUGUUGGUCAGGCUGGUCUGGAACUCCCAACCUCAGAUGAUCUGCCUGCCUCAGCCUCCCAAAGUGCUAGGAUUAGAGACAUGAGCGACUGUGCCCGGCCAAAAACACAUAUUAAAAUUUGAAAUUGACAUUAAAAUAUAAUAGAUUGUAAGUGUAUCAUAAAUUAUAAUUUGUAUUGCAUAAUUACAUCACACUUGUUUUUACUUAACUCCAUUAUGUAGUGCUGGUAGUAAGCAAUAUUGAGGCAGAAUAGGGUCUGGAGGCGGGGAACCUAAGGCAGAUUUGUGCUGACUUCCUAGAACUGAAUCAAGAGGAUCAGACUGUACUCCCUUUGGCUCCCCAGUCUUCAUUCAGAACUUUACUUCAGCCUCUGAUUGGUCACCUACUACAACCAAUCAGACUGGUCGUGGGCCACUCCUUAAUUUACAUACAGUAUAACCAAGUAACCAAUGGGAAACCUCUAGAGGGUAUUUAAACCCCAGAAAAUCCUGUAACCAGCACUCUUGAGCCCCUUGCUUGAGCCUGCUCACACUCUGUGGAGUGUACUUUUUGUUUCAAUAAAUCUGUGCUUUCAUUGCUUCAUUUUUUUG
This is a long non-coding RNA of Pongo abelii (Sumatran orangutan), 2180 nucleotides long. The record is from Ensembl. Lineage: Eukaryota; Metazoa; Chordata; Mammalia; Primates; Hominidae.